AGUGAACGCUGGCGGUAGGCCUAACACAUGCAAGUCGAACGGCAGCCCAGUAAGAGCUUGCUCUUCCGGGUGGCGAGUGGCGGCCGGGUGAGGAAUACAUCGGAAUCUACUUUUUCGUGGGGGAUAACGUAGGGAAACUUACGCUAAUACCGCAUACGCCCUACGGUUGAAAGCAGGGGAUCUUCGGACCUUGCGCGAUUGAAUGAGCCGAUGUCGGAUUAGCUAGUUGGCGGGGUAAAGGCCCACCAAGGCGACGAUCCGUAGCUGGUCUGAGAGGAUGAUCAGCCACACUGGAACUGAGACACGGUCCAGACUCCUACGGGAGGCAGCAGUGGGGAAUAUUGGACAAUGGGCGCAAGCCUGAUCCAGCCAUACCGCGUGGGUGAAGAAGGCCUUCGGGUUGUAAAGCCCUUUUGUUGGGAAAGAAAAGCAGCAGGUUAAUACCCCGCUGUUCUGACGGUACCCAAAGAAUAAGCACCGGCUAACUUCGUG
RNAcentral lists this ribosomal RNA (492 nucleotides) under uncultured bacterium. RNAcentral's name for it is "partial 16S ribosomal RNA". It matches the Rfam family "Bacterial small subunit ribosomal RNA", at positions 29 to 507 of the family's 1533-position model. The record is from RNAcentral.